GAAGAAGGUUGACAAGAAGAAUAAUUUUAAAACUGGGAUUGUAGUUCAAU
RNAcentral lists this small RNA (50 nucleotides) under Arabidopsis thaliana (thale cress). The record is from RNAcentral. Lineage: Eukaryota; Viridiplantae; Streptophyta; Magnoliopsida; Brassicales; Brassicaceae.